UUCAAAAAGAGCUCUGCUCCCAACCAAAAAGGGGAGACUUGUUUGUUGUCAAUCGCCGGUUGGGUUUACCAACCAAGAAAGAAUUGGGAAAGACAAGAUGCACAAAGGAAACUUAACUGGGAAGAGUCGCGACAGCUUCCACGCGCGUGUCGCGCCGCUAUAUGCUGUCCCCUACCCAGGAGCUAGGCUCGGCCCAUACAGUACCAGGGAGGAAGCCGAUAGCAUUAGGAAGGAGAAUUAUCAGCACUUUACACAGAGAAAGCAUGAUGAACAAUUAGCUGCUGGUAAACAGUCCCAUGCCAGCUAUCACACAUCUCACUUUACGCAGAGUCAGCGCGAAGAAAGGCAGAUCAACUUCCUUUCUCUUACUUAC
RNAcentral lists this long non-coding RNA (373 nucleotides) under Arachis ipaensis. RNAcentral describes it as "long non-coding RNA (AIPA_LNC001952)". Lineage: Eukaryota; Viridiplantae; Streptophyta; Magnoliopsida; Fabales; Fabaceae. The record is from RNAcentral.